This 253-nucleotide ribosomal RNA is filed under the name uncultured bacterium. Its description in RNAcentral is "partial 16S ribosomal RNA". It matches the Rfam family "Bacterial small subunit ribosomal RNA", at positions 524 to 776 of the family's 1533-position model. The record is from RNAcentral.
UACAGAGGGGGCAAGCGUUGUUCGGAAUUACUGGGCGUAAAGGGCGCGUAGGCGGCCGGCUAAGUCGAACGUGAAAUCCCCGGGCUCAACCCGGGAACUGCGUCCGAUACUGGUCGGCUUGAAUUCGGGAGAGGGAUGCGGAAUUCCAGGUGUAGCGGUGAAAUGCGUAGAUAUCUGGAGGAACACCGGUGGCGAAGGCGGCAUCCUGGACCGACAUUGACGCUGAGGCGCGAAAGCCAGGGGAGCAAACGGG